Molecule: ribosomal RNA, 515 nt
Filed under: uncultured bacterium
Lineage: Bacteria
Description: partial 16S ribosomal RNA
Rfam family: Bacterial small subunit ribosomal RNA
Source: RNAcentral
AACGAACGCUGGCGGCGUGCUUAACACAUGCAAGUCGAACGCGAAAGGGACUUCGGUCCUGAGUAAAGUGGCGCACGGAUGAGUAACGCGUAGAUAACCUGUCUUCGUGUCUGGAAUAAUACGCCGAAAGGUGUACUAAUACCGGAUAUUCUUGCUUUAUGUAAGUUUUGCAAGCAAAGGUGGCCUCUGCAUAUGCUACCGCAUGAAGAGGGGUCUGCGUACCAUUAGCUAGUAGGUAGGGUAAUGGCCUACCUAGGCGACGAUGGUUAGCGGGUGUGAGAGGAUGAGCCGCCACACGGGCACUGGAACACGGGCCAGACUCCUACGGGAGGCAGCAGUGAGGAAUAUUGCGCAAUGGGGGCAACCCUGACGCAGCGACGCCGCGUGAGGGAGGAAGGCCUUCGGGUCGUAAAGCUCUGUCAAGAGGAAAGAAGUGCAUGGUGGUUAAUACCCGCCAUGUUUGACGGUACCUCUAAAGGAAGCACCGGUUAACUCCGUGCCAGCCGCCGCAGUAA